Molecule: ribosomal RNA, 286 nt
Filed under: uncultured soil bacterium
Lineage: Bacteria
Description: partial 16S ribosomal RNA
Rfam family: Bacterial small subunit ribosomal RNA
Source: RNAcentral
AGAACGAACGCUGGCGGCAUGCCUAAUACAUGCAAGUCGAACGAACACUUCGGUGUUAGUGGCGCACGGGUGCGUAACGCGUGGGAAUCUGCCCUUGGGUUCGGAAUAACAGUUGGAAACGACUGCUAAUACCGGAUGAUAUCGAAAGAUCAAAGAUUUAUCGCCCAGGGAUGAGCCCGCGUAGGAUUAGCUAGUUGGUGAGGUAAAGGCUCACCAAGGCGACGAUCCUUAGCUGGUCUGAGAGGAUGAUCAGCCACACUGGGACUGAGACGACCGGCCCAGACCU